This 1237-nucleotide ribosomal RNA is filed under the name Escherichia coli. RNAcentral describes it as "partial 23S ribosomal RNA". It matches the Rfam family "Bacterial large subunit ribosomal RNA", at positions 1 to 1268 of the family's 2925-position model. Lineage: Bacteria; Pseudomonadati; Pseudomonadota; Gammaproteobacteria; Enterobacterales; Enterobacteriaceae. The record is from RNAcentral.
GGGUUGUGAGGUUAAGCGACUAAGCGUACACGGUGGAUGCCCUGGCAGUCAGAGGCGAUGAAGGACGUGCUAAUCUGCGAUAAGCGUCGGUAAGGUGAUAUGAACCGUUAUAACCGGCGAUUUCCGAAUGGGGAAACCCAGUGUGUUUCGACACACUAUCAUUAACUGAAUCCAUAGGUUAAUGAGGCGAACCGGGGGAACUGAAACAUCUAAGUACCCCGAGGAAAAGAAAUCAACCGAGAUUCCCCCAGUAGCGGCGAGCGAACGGGGAGCAGCCCAGAGCCUGAAUCAGUGUGUGUGUUAGUGGAAGCGUCUGGAAAGGCGCGCGAUACAGGGUGACAGCCCCGUACACAAAAAUGCACAUGCUGUGAGCUCGAUGAGUAGGGCGGGACACGUGGUAUCCUGUCUGAAUAUGGGGGGACCAUCCUCCAAGGCUAAAUACUCCUGACUGACCGAUAGUGAACCAGUACCGUGAGGGAAAGGCGAAAAGAACCCCGGCGAGGGGAGUGAAAAAGAACCUGAAACCGUGUACGUACAAGCAGUGGGAGCACGCUUAGGCGUGUGACCGCGUACCUUUUGUAUAAUGGGUCAGCGACUUAUAUUCUGUAGCAAGGUUAACCGAAUAGGGGAGCCGAAGGGAAACCGAGUCUUAACUGGGCGUUAAGUUGCAGGGUAUAGACCCGAAACCCGGUGAUCUAGCCAUGGGCAGGUUGAAGGUUGGGUAACACUAACUGGAGGACCGAACCGACUAAUGUUGAAAAAUUAGCGGAUGACUUGUGGCUGGGGGUGAAAGGCCAAUCAAACCGGGAGAUAGCUGGUUCUCCCCGAAAGCUAUUUAGGUAGCGCCUCGUGAACUCAUCUCCGGGGGUAGAGCACUGUUUCGGCAAGGGGGUCAUCCCGACUUACCAACCCGAUGCAAACUGCGAAUACCGGAGAAUGUUAUCACGGGAGACACACGGCGGGUGCUAACGUCCGUCGUGAAGAGGGAAACAACCCAGACCGCCAGCUAAGGUCCCAAAGUCAUGGUUAAGUGGGAAACGAUGUGGGAAGGCCCAGACAGCCAGGAUGUUGGCUUAGAAGCAGCCAUCAUUUAAAGAAAGCGUAAUAGCUCACUGGUCGAGUCGGCCUGCGCGGAAGAUGUAACGGGGCUAAACCAUGCACCGAAGCUGCGGCAGCGACGCUUAUGCGUUGUUGGGUAGGGGAGCGUUCUGUAAGCCUGUGAAGGUGUACUGUGAGG